UGUAGUUGUAAGCGAAGGUGUAGUUUGUAGGUGUAGUUGUAGGUGUAGAUGUAGUUGUAGGUGUAGUUGUAUGUUUAGGUGUAGGCGUAGUUGUAGGUGUAGUUGUAGAUGUACGUGUAGGUGUAGUUGUAAGCGAAGGUGUAGGUGCAUUUGUAGGUGUAUGUGUAUAUGUAGAUGUAAGUGAAGGUGUAGUUGUAGGUGUAGUUGUUGGUGUUGGUGUGGGUGUAGGUGUAGUUGUAGGUGUAGUAGUAGGCGUAGUUGUAGAUGUAGUUGUAGGUGUCGGUGUAGUUGUAGGUGUAGUUGUAGGCACAGUUGUAGUUGUAGUUGUAGUCGUAGGCAUAGGUUUUGGUGUAGGUUUAGGUGUAGUUGUAGGUGUAGUUGUAUGUUUAGGUGUAGGCGUAGUUGUAGGUGUAGUUGUACGUGUAGGUGUAGUUGUAAGCGAAGGUGUAGGUGUAGUUGUAGGUGUAGAUGUAGUUGUAGGUGUAGUUGUAUGUUUAGGUGUAGGCGUAGUUGUGGGUGUAGUUGUAGUUGUACGUGUAGGUAUAGUUGUAAGCGAAGGUGCAGUUGUAGGUGUAGGCGUAGAUGUAGUUGUAGUUGUAGGUGUAGGUGUAGAUGUAGUUGUAGGUGUAGUUGUAUGUUUAGGUGUAGGCGUAGUUGUAG
This 660-nucleotide long non-coding RNA is filed under the name Salmo salar (Atlantic salmon). Its description in RNAcentral is "lncRNA (ENSSSAG00000116568.1)". Lineage: Eukaryota; Metazoa; Chordata; Actinopteri; Salmoniformes; Salmonidae. The record is from RNAcentral.